GCUCUCCAUGUGAGGCCGCAGCGUCUGAUUUCUCACAUGAGUUCUGAAAGUUGUUAUUCUGUAAAGGGGAAGUAUUAUACCACCAGGUGUGAGUGUGAUUAGCCUAACAAGCGGUUUUGAAAAUCUGCCCCAUAUGACAUCACUAGUGGGCGUGUCCACCUAGAUCUGUGCUGUACAGAUCAUUCUACCAGCCUACCCAGUGGACCGAAGUAAACGUUGCUCAUCUAUCCAGCACAGAUCUAGGUGUACACGCCCAGUAGUGAUGUAAUAUGUGUCCGAUUUUGGAAACGGCUUGUAAGGCUAAUCACACUCACACCUGGUGGUAUAAUGUCCCCUUUUAAAAUGAAGAAAAACUGUCUACUGAGGUGUGAGAAUGUUUUUUUUUUUUCAUAUCCUGAUUGUAUCGCUGACCCACCAGGAUCCGCUCGGAUCUACGAUCGCUACGAUGCGACUGCAGAGGUCUCUGGAAGACCAGGAGUCCUUGGCUGAGGAGAGCUGAUGGAGGAGCCGUGCACCUGGAGAACCAUGAGUCUGCCUGCCAACAAGUAGUACUGGGAUAGGGAGGUGAUGGAGGACCUGCCUGGUGAAGGACGUCAGGGUGGGGCGAGUGACACCCGACUCCAAGGGGAUAUCCACUGAGGAGAGAGCUGAAGGAGCCAUGCAUCUGGAAGGUGCAGUUGAAAUGCUGUGUCCAGUCUGGGACAGACAGACCUGAGCUGCGUCAAGCCUGUAUCUCUGACCAGCUGGAGUCCCUUAAUGAUCAACAACCGCCACUCAUCGCUGGCCUGUGGAUUCAUCUCCUUCACACUCACACAACAGGACUUUGGCCUGUGGAUUCAUCUCCUCCACACUCACACAACAGGACUUUGGCCUGUGGAUUCAUCUCCUCCACACUCACACAACAGGACUUUGGCCUGUGGAUUCAUCUCCUCCACACUCACACAACAGGACUUUGGCCUGUGGAUUCAUCUCCUCCACACUCACACAACGUGACCUUGGCCUGUGGAUUCAUCUACUCCACACUCACACAACAGGACUUUGGCCUGUGGAUUCAUCUCCUCCACACUCACACAACAGGACUUUGGCCUGUGGAUUAAUCUCCUCCACACUCACGCAACGUGACCUUCUCACCAUCUGUUGCACGUUUGGAUGCACCUAGCGUGUUCCAUCGAGGGUUCCUUCCUCCCCACGGUGGGAGGGUUCCUUGUCCUUCAAGGCGUCGGGGUUCAGUGUUAGGGACAGAGUUAGGGACAGAUGGCUGCGCUGGAUUCACGAUACACGCUUUGUGAUCAAAAUGGGUUCGGACAUCGGACAAAUCGCUUCCCAAAAUGUUUC
Gadus macrocephalus (Pacific cod) is the source of this 1335-nucleotide long non-coding RNA. RefSeq lists it as uncharacterized. The transcript is spliced from 5 exons. Lineage: Eukaryota; Metazoa; Chordata; Actinopteri; Gadiformes; Gadidae. The record is from RefSeq and is a predicted model, not a curated record.